GACGUGGGGUGCAAGCGUUGUCCGGAGUGAUUGGGCGUGAAGGGCGUGUAGGUGGUUUGGUAAGUCUCCUGUGAAAUUCUCUGGCUCAACCAGGGAUGGUCGGGAGAAACUACCAAGCUCGAGGGAGACAGGGGCAGAUGGAAUUCCCGGUGGAGGAGUAAAAUCCGUUGAUAUCGGGAGGAACACCAGUGGCGAAGGCGAUCUGCUAGGUCUCUCCUGACACUGAGGCGCGAAAGCCUGGGUAGCGAAAGGG
RNAcentral lists this ribosomal RNA (253 nucleotides) under uncultured bacterium. RNAcentral describes it as "partial 16S ribosomal RNA". It matches the Rfam family "Bacterial small subunit ribosomal RNA", at positions 524 to 776 of the family's 1533-position model. The record is from RNAcentral.